CCAAAUCCGUUGAUUGUCAUCAAUUUAAUUUGGUGAAGGAUAAGCAUAAUGUAAUUCUUAUUCUUGUUUCAUCCAAGUGAUUAAUUCCCUAUUCCGGAGGUUCAUCAUAUUCUCGAUUCAAGUUGUCCAUCUUUCUUUCCGGAGCUCAAAGUUAUUUCAAUUAUUUCAUCACGGAGAUCUAUCUAAAUCUUUACAAGGUUUCACCUUGUGCUUUCAACUUCUCUUUCUUUUCGUUUGAUCAUCCUUUUGUUACCAGAGUUCUUCAUGGAGGUUCCACAUGAUGGUUCUUCAAGGAUUUAACUCCUUCUUGAAGGGUUCAUCAAGAUUCUUUUCUAAGGAGCUCAAGCAUUCUUCAUCUUGCUACCCGGAGUGCAAUUCUUUCUUCCAUAUCUUUGAAGGUGGCAUUAUGUCAUUCUUGAUAAUUUGAGUUCAUGUUUCAUGAUUCACAUGUUGUCAAGAAUGAGAUAUUUUAAAUCCGUCAAUUUCUUCGUUGGAGUUAUCUUAUAUCUUGUUUCUCCUAAAGCCUUCUCCAAGGAUUGUUGCUAAUUAUGGUGCUUAUAAGUGACCCAAGUUCUUCACUUAUCCUCAUGGCAAAAUAGUCUCGUCUCUUUGUUUAUAUCAAUCCAAUCUACUGUUUCCAGUAGUGGCAGAAUUUCACCUCAUAAUUUCGAGAUGUUUUCCCUAAGUCCACUACAACCUUGUUCUUUUCGUUGUUGGUUUUCCAACAACUCCGUUCGACCCUUCUCCUAAAGACGUUGCUUUCCUCUCCGUUCUUUUGAAUCCAUUCUUACAGUCGUUCCGGAGGCAUUGCGAUGUUAUUCUUUUCACCCAUCUUUUCGUUUUGUCAAAGAUCAUGUUAUUUUCAUGCCUAUCCAUUUAACCGGAGUGUUGUGCCCUUUUGCUCAAGUUCUUUUUGCCUUAUCAAGCCUUGCAUCUCUUUUCAACCGGAGUGCUGUCUGAGAUCUUUCUUACCCCUUGUUCCUUUCAUUCAAUAGUUCCGGAGGCUAUAUGUUGUGAUUUCAUCAAGUGUCUUCUCAUCUUAUCAAGUUCUUACAAUUCCUUUUCUUUUCAAUCAGAGUGCUGCCCAAAGUUGUUCUUCCUUGUCCCUCUUUUUCUAACGGAGUGUUUUCAACUUCGUUCAUCUCCGUUGUAUUCUUUUCUUAUAAUGUCUUAACCUUUUCAAGGUUCUUUGGUUUCACUCGUUUUUCAAAGAAGCAACUUAGUUUUACCUCUUCUCUUCCUCUUCCUUUUCCCUCCGGUGCCAUCCUAGAUCUUGGGACGAGAUCCUCUCGUAGUGGUGGAGUGUUGUGACGGCCCAAGGCCGGAGCUUCAGUUGCCUUCCAGGGUUUCCAGGUCUCGUCGUGUGAUUUGUUUGGUUCUUUGCAUUCAUCGUUGCAUCAUGUGCAUUGUCAUCAUGCCAUCAUGCCAUUUAUUUUUCUUAACUCAACUAAACAAAUGGUAUGGAUCUUUGAUACAUUUAAAUUGAGGGAAUUCACAUGGUGAUUCUCUUUCCAACUUAUCCUCUCGAUAUUUAGAGAGCUAUAGUAAUUAUUCCAAUUAUGUGGAAUUACCUUAACACACUUGCAAAAAUCCCAAUGCCUUUUACUAUUUCAACUCUUGGCCUCUAACUUCGCCACAUGUCCUUUCAUCAUUUUCCGGAGCUCCACCUAAUUUCUCAACAUUUUUGGGCACUUCGAAAAACCUAUCCUAGUUCAAACCUUUUGAAUUCAAUUCAAAGGAAUUUGAAUUUAAUCUUUCAAACUUGACCUUUUUCUAUUUUCCCGGACCGUGCACAUUUUUCUGAGUCCGUGAAAAUUAUCCCAGUGCCCAAAUUCCUUCUCCAACCUUUUCUUUCUCUUAUUUAUGCCUUUGCUAUUUGCUAUUUUGGCAAAUAAAAGAAAAUGAGGAAGAGAGUAGGAGAGAGAGCAGCCCAGCAGGCCCGUGGACGUUUUCCUCUCCAUUGGGCCGGCCUCCCGAGGCCCACUCCCCAGCUAACCCUAGCGCAGGGAGAGAGCCCAUCUUCUCUCCCUCUCGUCCUCAUCCAGCGCCGCCUCCCACCUCGUCUUCUCUCCCCGAUCCCCUCGUCCUCUCCCUCGUCUCUUUUCCCUCCUCUCUGCCGCGCCAAGUCCCUCCUCCUUCCCAAGGCCGCCGCCGGUGCCCCAAGUCCCCCUCAUCCUCGACCCCCAUCUCUCCCUCGACCAGGCCUGCCGCCGCCAUCGCGAACGUCGCGGCCCCGCGCCCUCAAGCUUCGGCGACCGUUGCCGCUCCGUGCACCCUGGCCAUCCUCCUGCGCCCAGAGCUCCAUCCUCUUCGUCGCCUCCCCGCCAUGGCACCCUGCAGCAGAGCACCACGGCGACCCUCACCUGCGCCUCCCCGAGCAGGAACUCCGCCUCCCAUGCACCCGUGCUUCGCUGACCGGAGGCGUCGUCCUCGACCGUCGCCAGCACCGCUGCCCCGCCUGCGUCCUCGACCUCCUCCUUCCACGCGUUGUCAAGUUUCAGGAGCUGCUGCUGUUUUUCUUUUGCUGCUGCGUCUCCGUCCAUCUGCAGGCGACCGCGCCCGGUGUCUGCGAUACCUGCUGCUGUCGCUGGACGCCAAGACCACCGCGACACCUGAACUUCGUGUUGUUGUUCACUGCCCGCCUCCCGUCGGUUUCGCCAAGUACCACAAGUUCUGGAUGGAUGCGCCAAGUCCCCAGCGAGACCCGUUUUCCGUCGAGUUCGACUACACGGCUAUGACCUCGGAGUUGCAACGCAAGCGCCAAGUACCCCACCGGCAAGACCACACGGACGCUCGAACGGCUAUAGACCGAAACGUUAAGUACCUCGUUGAUACAUGUACGACUACCAUGGCCAAAGACCGCGAGUACAACUACUUCCACAUCACGCCGUGUACGACUUCUGUCGCUUGGGUUCGACAAGACACCGGGUACCACUAUGCUAGCCAUGUACAUAAUACACCAAGACCGGACCGGCAAGUACUCCGACGACCUUGUACCACUACCGUCGCGAGUAUCUCUACCGUCAUGAUGUACCUCUACUUCCACUACCGCUCCGAUGAUCGCCGAUGAACGAUAGGACGAGUACUUCUACUACCGUCGCGUGAACCACUACUUCCCUCGACGUCCGAGAACGUCUACUUCCACUACUUCCUCUACGCCGACUCGAUACACUUUGAAAACGCACGCUUCAAAGGUAUAACCCCGAGUCGACGCCCGUGAACGCAUGAAUGCAUGUUGGAUGAGAUGCACCCUUUGUCUGCACCGUGUCCGUAUUGUCACUCAUUUUCCAUGCCACUAACCCGUGGGACACCCGGAAUCCGGGAUCAUCCCACCAUCUCUUGCACGCUCCCGUCACUUUUCCUUUUGCACCGGUAUCCCCGUGGACUACCUGAUAACCGAUAUGUUGUCGUGGCAUCAUUUUCAUAUUCGUCGCCGUGGCACCCCUUUUCUUUUCACCAUGUUGACAAAUGCUUCAUAAUUCUCUUGAUUGUGCAUUGUGCCAUGCUUAUGUGGUGGUUGUUUAUUAUGCUGUUUGCUCCAUUCCGGUGUUGCUUCUUCGGGCUAGUUCCGAUAAUGUCGUGUUUGUGAGGAACCGUUCGACUACGUCCGUUUGUCUUCUUCAUGGACUCGUUCUUCUUCCUUGCGGGAUCUCAGGCAAGAUGAUCACACCCUCAAAAUCACUUCUAUCUUUGCUUGCUUAGUUGCUCGCUCUUUUGCUAUGCCUAUGUUGCGAUACCUACCACUUGUUUAUCAUGCCUCCCAUAUUGUUGAACCAAGCCUCUAACCCACCUUGUCCUAGCAAACCAUUGUUUGGCUAUGUUACCGCUUUGCUCAGCCCCUCUUAUAGCAUUGUUAGUUGCAGGUGAAGAUUGAAGUUUGUUCCUUGUUGGAACAUGGAGAUGUUGUUCCUUGUUGGAACAUGUUACUUGUUGGGGUAUCACAAUAUAUCUUACUUAAUUAAUGCAUCUAUAUACUUGGUAAAGGGUGGAAGGCUCGGCCUUAUGCCUGGUGUUUUGUUCCACUCUUGCUGCCCUAGUUUCCGUCAUAUCGGUGUUAUGUUCACGGAUUUUGCGUCCCUUACGCGGUUGGGCUAUAAUGGGAACCCCUUGACAGUUCGCCUUAAGUAAAGCUCUUCCAGCAAUGCCCAACAUUGGUUUUACCAUUCGCCACCUAGCCUUUUCUUUCCCUUGGGUCGGCCAGCCCAAGGGUCAUCUUUAUUUUACCCCCCCCCCCCCGGGCCAGUGCUUCUCUGAGUGUUGGUCCAACUGAGCGAUGUCCGAGGCUACCAGGGGCAACUCUGGGCUGGCUUGCCCGACGGCUUGCUCAUCCGGUGUGCCCUGAGAACGAGAUAUGUGCAGCUCCUAUCAGGAUUUGUCGGCACAUCUGGGUGGUGUUGCUGGUUUAGUUUUACCCUGUCGAAAUGUCUUGUUGUACCGGGAUACUGAGUCUGAUCGGAAGGUCUCGGGUGGAGGUCUAUUCCUUCGUUGACUGUGAGAGGUUGUGAUGGGCUAAGUUGGGACACCCCUGCAGGGAUUUGAACUUAAAAAAGCCGUGCCCGCGGUUAUGGGCAGAUGGGAAUUUGUUAAUGUCCGGUUGUAGAUAACUUGAACCUUAACUUAAUUAAAAUAAGUCAACCGCGUGUGUAACCGUGAUGGUCUCUUUCCGGCGGAGUCCGGGAAGUGAACACGGUGUUGGAGUUAUGCUUGACGUAGGUUGUUCUAGGAUCACUUCUUGAUCAUACUUUUAUCGACCGUGCUUUGCCUUCUCUUCUCGCUCUCUUUUGUGAACAGGUUAGCCACCAUAUAUGCUAGUCGCUUGCUGCAGCUCCACCUCAUACCUUUACCUUACCCAUAAGCUUAAAUAGUCUUGAUCGCGAGGGUGCGAGAUUGCUGACUCCCUGUGGCUCACAGAUACUUCCAAAACCAGCUUGCAGGUGCCGAUGAGUCCAUGCAGAUGACGCAACCAAGCUCAGGAGGAGCUCGAUGAAGAUCUUGUCCUUUGUGUUGUCUUCGUUCUAGUUGAUCAGUAGUGGAGCCUAGUUGGGGGUCGAUCGGGGACCUUUGUCGCAUUUGGGGUUCUUCUUUUGUUUUGGUUCCGUAGUCGGACCUUGAUUGUAUUUGGAUGUUGUAAUGUUUUAUUCAUGUAGCUGUGUGAAGUGGCGAUUGUAAGCCAACUAUGUAUCUCUUUCUCUUAUUCUAUUACAUGGGUUGUGUGAAGAUUACCUCACUUGCGACAUUGCUUUCAAUGCGGUUAUGCCUCUAAGUUGUGCUUCGAUACGUGGGAGAUAUAGCCGCAUCGAGGGCGUUACAAGUUGGUAUCAGAGCCUUCCCCGACCUUAGGAGCCCCAUUGCUGGAUCAUUUUUAGUGGCCGAGUUGUGUCUAGAAAAAUGUUUUGAGUCAUUAGGAAUUAUAUAUCGGAGAGUUUAGGAAUUCUUUUUACUCCCCAGUCUCCUCAUCGCUCUGGUAAGGCAUCCUGACGUAGAAUUUUGACUCUUCUCUUCUCAAAUUUCACUAAAAAACAUUUUAGGAUGACGCGGGUAUCUUGGAAUCAUUCCGAUGGUUUUGUGACGAGAACAUUGUCUUGGUGCCUCCUGUCAGGGGUUUUGUGGAAGUGUCCCGGGGAGUUGAGCUCCGAGGUGUUGUCGUCACAAUUUUAUCGUUGCAGUUCUGGAAUACCUGAGUUUAGUACGCUGACAUUGAAAAUCUCUUUUUGUAGUUUGUUGGUGAGAUAACCUCGAAGCCACCCAGUACUGGGGCGGGAGUACGGGAGUAUCGCCAUAACUUGUGUAACGGAUGCUUUUCGAAGGUUGAGGUAGAUGAUUUCCAAAGGUUUCUUGGUUAUGUGUUGAAGGAUGGAUACAGCUGGAUGUAGGAUUUGCUAGUUUGGGUGAGAUAUUAUGCUUCCCCUGUAUCCCUAACACCUGAUUGCAUAACUGGAAAGUUUCGGGAGUUUAAAAGUGGGAAUUCAAGUAGCUCUUAGGAUAUCUUUCCGACAGAUGUAUGAUAUGAAAUUGGGGUUCGACGUCUAGUGGUCCGCCUAUUCACGGUUGGUUUUUACAGUGGUCUCGUUGUGUCUUAAAGAGUCCUUGGCUAUGCCGACUCGGGGACGCUUCGUAUGUCAUGUGCACUGCCUUGUACAUGAUGGUGCUGUACGAUCGAGCCCGUGUAGGCCCCACCAUGAAAACUUCGGACGAAAUCUCUAUCAUAUGUUUGUUCCGGCUUAUUCUGCAAGUCAAUCCUUUGUUUUCUUUUGAGUUGUGGUAUUCGAGUUGCUUCGAAGUCAAAUGUUGAUUCCAUACCUUUCCUAAGUGUUGUUCUCAUACUCCGAUGUGAAUACCAAUCCUUCUUGAUCAUCAAGUUUGUCAUGUCAAUCCUUUUUCACCGGCGUGUUUUUCUCUUCAAGUGGAUCCGAUCACUUCAACAUCGCAAGAUCAAUUAUCAGUUCUUCUAAACGGUGUUCAUUUCUUCCAUCUCCAAGUUGCCUUUGUUUUUUUCCCACCCUCCCUCCCUUUGUUUUCUUCAAGGACUCAGAUUUCUUAAUCAAGUAUCUUUUAUUCGUGUGAAGUCUCUCCAUUCUUUUCAUCAAUGUUCUUAUCCGGUGAUUCUCAAGAAGAUACUAACGGAGCUUCAAGUUAUCAUUAUUCGUUCUUUUCUUCUCCGGUGGUUUAAAUUCAAGCGUUAUUGAUCAUAUCUUUCUCCUCGUUUCAAAUACCUUCUAAUGUAGGUGCACCUCAUAUUCAUUCACUUCUCGCUAUUUAAUUGUUCUGGAGUGCUCAAGAUAUCUCGAAGAUUCGUGUUUCCACUCUGCAUUUGUUCAAGCUCUUUCGAUAUUGGUAUCUCAUUCAAGUCAUUUAAUUCAACCGGUGCAACCUCUCUUUUUAAUCAUUUCAACGGUGUUUCUUUUGAGUGGGCCCUAACCCACAGGUCUUUCCCAGGAUCUUACCUGACUCUUCUUAUUUUCCCGGAGCUAUCCUAAAUUCUUUUAAAGUUUGACGUAAGAAUGAGUUAUCAUCAGUCAAAUGCCAUCUCCUAGAUCUUUCACAAUUCUUUUCAUCAUUGGCUCAACCUCUUCGUUCUGAUUCUUCUGGAGUUUCUAAAUAAUUCAUGGUUGUGUUUCUCGUCAUCAUUCUCAACAUUUGAAGACCGAAGAAGAGUUUCUCUUUAAUCUUGCUCCACACUCCUCAAGAUUCAUGGUUCAAGAUUGUUGCCAUCCUCUUAUAAUUAUUUUCGAUGGUGAGAAUCCUUUUCAUCCAUCAGGAGAUAUUCAGGAGUCUUCUCAGCUUGAUUAUCCGGAGUCCAUCAAUUCAGGUUUAUUCAUUCUCAGCUGUCAGUUAUCAUUCUCCUAUCUUACCGGUCCUUCGUUCUAGUGAUCUUUAAUCAGCUCGUGAUCUCUUUGUUCUCUUGUAUCUAAAUUCUCUCAAGCUUCUUCAUUCAUUUGCUAAUUCUUACCCGGUGUUUCUUUAUCUUCUCAUCGUUCUUUUCAAUUCUUACGGUGGUUGCUCAAGUGUUCUCUUCCUUCUUCAUUAUAUCAAUUCAUUCGUUGUUUCAAUCCUACCGGUGUUUCGUUGAAGACCUUCCCAAGUCUGAUGUUACACUCUCUUAAUCUUUUCUACGAGAAUAAGUAAUAUGCCAAAUCCGUUGAUUGUCAUCAAUUUAAUUUGGUGAAGGAUAAGCAUAAUGUAAUUCUUAUUCUUGUUUCAUCCAAGUGAUUAAUUCCCUAUUCAGGAGGUUCAUCAUAUUCUCGAUUCAAGUUGUCCAUCUUUCUUUCCGGAGCUCAAAGUUAUUUCAAUUAUUUCAUCGCGGAGAUCUAUCUAAAUCUUUACAAGGUUUCACCUUGUGCUUUCAACUUCUCUUUCUUUUCGUUUGAUCAUCCUUUUGUUACCGGAGUUCUUCAUGGAGGUUCUACAUGAUGG
Molecule: long non-coding RNA, 7914 nt
Filed under: Triticum aestivum (bread wheat)
Lineage: Eukaryota; Viridiplantae; Streptophyta; Magnoliopsida; Poales; Poaceae
Description: long non-coding RNA (TAES_LNC025584)
Source: RNAcentral